CUACGUGCCAGCAGCCGCGGUAAUACGUAGGGCGCGAGCGUUGUCCGGAAUUAUUGGGCGUAAAGAGCUUGUAGGCGGUUUGUCGCGUCUGCUGUGAAAGGCCGGAGCUUAACUCCGUGUAUUGCAGUGGGUACGGGCAGACUAGAGUGCAGUAGGGGAGACUGGAAUUCCUGGUGUAGCGGUGGAAUGCGCAGAUAUCAGGAGGAACACCGAUGGCGAAGGCAGGUCUCUGGGCUGUAACUGACGCUGAGAAGCGAAAGCAUGGGGAGCGAACAGGAUUAGAUACCCUGGUAGUCCAUGCCGUAAACGUUGGGCACUAGGUGUGGGGGACAUUCCACGUUUUCCGCGCCGUAGCUAACGCAUUAAGUGCCCCGCCUGGGGAGUACGGCCGCAAGGCUAAAACUCAAAGAAAUUGACGGGGGCCCGCACAAGCGGCGGAGCAUGCGGAUUAAUUCGACGCAACGCGAGGAACCUUACCAGAUCUUGACA
This 489-nucleotide ribosomal RNA is filed under the name uncultured bacterium. RNAcentral's name for it is "bacterial SSU rRNA". It matches the Rfam family "Bacterial small subunit ribosomal RNA", at positions 501 to 986 of the family's 1533-position model. The record is from RNAcentral.